ACUCCUACGGGAGGCAGCAGUGGGGAAUAUUGCACAAUGGGCGCAAGCCUGAUGCAGCAACGCCGUGUGAGUGAAGAAGGUUUUCGGAUCGUAAAACUCUGUCCUAAGGGAAGAAAAAAUGACGGUACCUUAGGAGGAAGCCCCGGCUAACUACGUGCCAGCAGCCGCGGUAAUACGUAGGGGGCAAGCGUUAUCCGGAAUCACUGGGCGUAAAGGGUGCGUAGGCGGCUUGACAAGCCAGGGGUGAAAGGCAUUGGCUCAACCAAUGUAAGCCUUUGGAACUGUUAAGCUUGAGUGCAGGAGAGGUAAGUGGAAUUCCUAGUGUAGAGGUGAAAUUCGUAGAUAUUAGGAGGAACACCAGUGGCGAAGGCGACUUACUGGACUGUAACUGACGCUGAUGCACGAAAGCGUGGGUAGCGAACAGGAUUAGAUACCCUGGUGGCACAGAG
RNAcentral lists this ribosomal RNA (449 nucleotides) under uncultured bacterium. RNAcentral describes it as "bacterial SSU rRNA". It matches the Rfam family "Bacterial small subunit ribosomal RNA", at positions 335 to 799 of the family's 1533-position model. The record is from RNAcentral.